AAACAGGCUUCAAUUGAAGCCACCAACUCAUUUAUAUCGACUUUGU
Molecule: non-coding RNA, 46 nt
Organism: Echinococcus granulosus
Lineage: Eukaryota; Metazoa; Platyhelminthes; Cestoda; Cyclophyllidea; Taeniidae
Source: Rfam